AUAGCAGGUCGUUCUAUCGCUAAUUUUAUAAUUAGAGGAAAGUCCGGGCAACAUAGGGUAACGUGCUUCCUAACGGGAAGAUAUCCGUAAGGGUGUUGUAGCGUAACAGAGAAUAACCGUUCUGCUUGCAGAAUAAGGGUGAAAAGGCGGGGUAAGAGCCCACCGGUAUCUCGGGUGAUCGAGGUAGCCGUACGUCACACGUGUUGCAAGGCCAUGUAUAUCGACAAUUAAGGUUGACCCGACCAAUGUCGAGGGGUAGGCUGCUAGAGCUGCGAAGUGAUUCGUAGCCGAGAUAAAUGAUAGAGACCGAAAGGUACAGAACCCGGCUUAUAGACCAGCUAUACUU
This 346-nucleotide RNase P RNA is filed under the name Marinifilaceae bacterium. RNAcentral describes it as "RNase P RNA component class A". It matches the Rfam family "Bacterial RNase P class A". From Rfam's summary of the family: Ribonuclease P (RNase P) is a ubiquitous endoribonuclease, found in archaea, bacteria and eukarya as well as chloroplasts and mitochondria. The record is from RNAcentral. Lineage: Bacteria; Pseudomonadati; Bacteroidota; Bacteroidia; Marinilabiliales; Marinifilaceae.